Molecule: ribosomal RNA, 398 nt
Filed under: uncultured bacterium
Lineage: Bacteria
Description: bacterial SSU rRNA
Rfam family: Bacterial small subunit ribosomal RNA
Source: RNAcentral
AUUGAACGCUGGCGGCAUGCUUUACACAUGCAAGUCGAGCGGCAGCGCGGGGGCAACCCUGGCGGCGAGCGGCGAACGGGUGAGUAACGCAUCGGAACGUAUCCUGUAGUGGGGAAUAACUCAUCGAAAGGUGAGCUAAUACCGCAUAAGCUCUGAGGAGGAAAGCGGGGGACCGAAAGGCCUCGCGCUGCAGGAGCGGCCGAUGUCCGAUUAGCUAGUUGGUGAGGUAAAGGCUCACCAAGGCGACGAUCGGUAGCUGGUCUGAGAGGAUGAUCAGCCACACUGGGACUGAGACACGGCCCAGACUCCUACGGGAGGCAGCAGUGGGGAAUUUUGGACAAUGGGGGCAACCCUGAUCCAGCAAUGCCGCGUGAGUGAAGAAGGCCUCGGGUUGUAAG